RNAcentral lists this ribosomal RNA (515 nucleotides) under uncultured bacterium. RNAcentral describes it as "partial 16S ribosomal RNA". It matches the Rfam family "Bacterial small subunit ribosomal RNA", at positions 28 to 523 of the family's 1533-position model. The record is from RNAcentral.
GAUGAACGCUGGCGGCGUGCCUAAUACAUGCAAGUCGAGCGAAUGGAUUAAGAGCUUGCUCUUAUGAAGUUAGCGGCGGACGGGUGAGUAACACGUGGGUAACCUGCCCAUAAGACUGGGAUAACUCCGGGAAACCGGGGCUAAUACCGGAUAACAUUUUGAACCGCAUGGUUCGAAAUUGAAAGGCGGCUUCGGCUGUCACUUAUGGAUGGACCCGCGUCGCAUUAGCUAGUUGGUGAGGUAACGGCUCACCAAGGCAACGAUGCGUAGCCGACCGAGGAGGGUGAUCGGCCACACUUGGACGGAGACACGGCACAGACUCCGACGGGGGGCAGCAGUAGGGAAUCUUCCGCAAUGGACGAAAGUCUGACGGAGCAACGCCGCGUGAGUGAUGAAGGCUUUCGGGUCGUAAAACUCUGUUGUUAGGGAAGAACAAGUGCUAGUUGAAUAAGCUGACACCUUGACGGUACCUAACCAGAAAGCCACGGCUAACUACGUGCCAGCCGCCGCCGUAA